RNAcentral lists this ribosomal RNA (301 nucleotides) under uncultured bacterium. RNAcentral describes it as "partial 16S ribosomal RNA". It matches the Rfam family "Bacterial small subunit ribosomal RNA", at positions 509 to 809 of the family's 1533-position model. The record is from RNAcentral.
CAGUCGCCGCGGUAAUACGUAGGGUGCGAGCGUUAAUCGGAAUUACUGGGCGUAAAGCGUGCGCAGGCGGUUAUAUAUGACAGAUGUGAAAUCCCCGGGCUCAACCUGGGAACUGCAUUUGAGACUGUAUGGCUAGAGUAUGUCAGAGGGGGGUAGAAUUCCACGUGUAGCAGUGAAAUGCGUAGAUAUGUGGAGGAAUACCGAUGGCGAAGGCAGCCCCCUGGGAUAACACUGACGCUCAUGCACGAAAGCGUGGGGAGCAAACAGGAUUAGAUACCCGCGUAGUCCCUGUCUCUUAUAA